UCCCCCUCUCUCCAUCUUUUUUCCUUCCAUCCUCCAAUUUAAUCUCUUUCGUCCUCCCUCUUUCCUCCUCAUAUUCGAGUCUAUUUAUGCUGUGCCUGUUUUCUAUCUUGUAAAAUCUCUCCAUUUUUCAGGUAGUUAAGAGUCCCCUCUAUUCUUGGUCUCCCCUUUCCUUCCUCCAUAUCUAUAAUAUCGAUGAUGAUAAUAG
Molecule: long non-coding RNA, 205 nt
Filed under: Elaeis guineensis (African oil palm)
Lineage: Eukaryota; Viridiplantae; Streptophyta; Magnoliopsida; Arecales; Arecaceae
Description: long non-coding RNA (EGUI_LNC053600)
Source: RNAcentral